GUUUAUGUCCAUGCCACCUUGAACAAGCUUGAUGUCUGAUUUCGGAAGCUAGGCAGGGUUAGGCCUGGUUAGUACUUGUAUGGGAGACCAUGUAGGAAAAGCAGGUGCUAUAGGCA
This 116-nucleotide ribosomal RNA is filed under the name Pteropus alecto (black flying fox). The record is from RNAcentral. Lineage: Eukaryota; Metazoa; Chordata; Mammalia; Chiroptera; Pteropodidae.